CCUACGGGAGGCAGCAGUAGGGAAUAUUGCUCACUGGGGGAAACCCUGAAGCAGCAACGCCGCGUGGAGGAUGAAGGUUUUCGGAUUGUACACUCCUUUUGUUAGAGAAGAUAAUGACGGUAUCUAACGAAUAAGCACCGGCUAACUCCGUGCCAGCAGCCGCGGUAAUACUGAGGGUGCAAGCGUUCCUCUGAAUCACUGGGCGUAAAGAGCGCGUAGGCGGGAUAGCAAGUCAGAUGUGAAAUCCUAUGGCGUAACCAUAGAACUGCAUUUGAAACUGUUAUUCUAGAGUAUGGGAGAGGUAGGUGGAAUGCUUGGUGUAGGGGGAAAAUCCGUAGAGAUCAAGAGGAAUACUCAUUGCGAAGGCGACCUGCUAGAACAUAACUGACGCUGAUGCGCGAAAGCGUGGGGAGCAAACAGGAUUAGAUACCCCAGUAGUC
RNAcentral lists this ribosomal RNA (440 nucleotides) under uncultured bacterium. RNAcentral's name for it is "partial 16S ribosomal RNA". It matches the Rfam family "Bacterial small subunit ribosomal RNA", at positions 338 to 795 of the family's 1533-position model. The record is from RNAcentral.